This 400-nucleotide ribosomal RNA is filed under the name uncultured bacterium. RNAcentral's name for it is "bacterial SSU rRNA". It matches the Rfam family "Bacterial small subunit ribosomal RNA", at positions 357 to 774 of the family's 1533-position model. The record is from RNAcentral.
GGGAAUCUUGCACAAUGGGGGCAACCCUGAUGCAGCGACGCCGCGUGAGCGAUGAAGCCCUUCGGGGCGUAAAGCUCUUUCGACCGGAACGAUAAUGACGGUACCGGGAGAAGAAGCUGCGGCUAACUACGUGCCAGCAGCCGCGGUAAUACGUAGGCAGCAAGCGUUGUUCGGCGUUACUGGGCGGAAAGAGUGCGUAGGCGGUUUUCUAAGUUCGGAGUGAAAUCUCCCGGCUUAACUGGGAGGGUGCGCCGAAGACAGGGAAGCUGGAGGGUGGGAAAGGCAAGCGGAAUUCCUGGUGUAGCGGAGAAAUGCGUAGAUAUCAGGAGGAACACCGGCGGUGUAGACGGCUUGCUGGACCAUAACUGACGCUGAGGCACGAAAGCGUGGGUAGCAAACA